GAUGAACGCUAGCGGGAGGCUUAACACAUGCAAGUCGAGGGGCAGCAUGGGGUAGCAAUACCCUGAUGGCGACCGGCAAACGGGUGAGUAACGCGUAUGUAACCUACCCUGUACAGGGGGAUAACCCGGAGAAAUUCGGACUAAUAUCCCAUAACAAUAUCUGGAGGCAUCUUUGGAUAUUUAAAGUUCCGGCGGUACGGGAUGGGCAUGCGUAACAUUAGCUAGUUGGUAAGGUAACGGCUUACCAAGGCUUUGAUGUUUAGGGGUCCUGAGAGGGUGGUCCCCCACACUGGUACUGAGACACGGACCAGACUCCUACGGGAGGCAGCAGUGAGGAAUAUUGGUCAAUGGGCGCAAGCCUGAACCAGCCAUCCCGCGUGCAGGAAGACGGCCCUAUGGGUUGUAAACUGCUUUUCCAGGGAGAGAAACUUGCGCACGUGUUGCGCAAUUGACGGUACCCUGGGAAUAAGCAUCGGCUAACUCCGUG
RNAcentral lists this ribosomal RNA (487 nucleotides) under uncultured bacterium. Its description in RNAcentral is "bacterial SSU rRNA". It matches the Rfam family "Bacterial small subunit ribosomal RNA", at positions 28 to 507 of the family's 1533-position model. The record is from RNAcentral.